GCCCACAUAGCUCAGCUGGUUAGAGCACUUCAUUCGUAAUGAAGAGGUCCGUGGUUCGAACCCGCGUGUGGGCU
Molecule: transfer RNA, 74 nt
Filed under: Seminavis robusta
Lineage: Eukaryota; Bacillariophyta; Bacillariophyceae; Naviculales; Naviculaceae
Rfam family: tRNA
About the family: Transfer RNA (tRNA) molecules are approximately 80 nucleotides in length. Their secondary structure includes four short double-helical elements and three loops (D, anti-codon, and T loops).
Source: Rfam by way of RNAcentral